UACGCAGGGGGCAAGCGUUGUCCGGAAUCAUUGGGCGUAAAGCGCGUGUAGGCGGCCCGGUAAGUCCGCUGUGAAAGUCGGGGGCUCAACCCUCGAAUGCCGGUGGAUACUGUCGGGCUAGAGUACGGAAGAGGCGAGUGGAAUUCCUGGUGUAGCGGUGAAAUGCGCAGAUAUCAGGAGGAACACCAAUAGCGAAGGCAGCUCGCUGGGACGUGACUGACACUAAGGCGCGAAAGCGUGGGGAGCGAACAGG
This 253-nucleotide ribosomal RNA is filed under the name uncultured bacterium. Its description in RNAcentral is "partial 16S ribosomal RNA". It matches the Rfam family "Bacterial small subunit ribosomal RNA", at positions 524 to 776 of the family's 1533-position model. The record is from RNAcentral.